UGGGGAAUUUUGGACAAUGGGCGAAAGCCUGAUCCAGCAAUGCCGCGUGUGUGAAGAAGGCCUUCGGGUUGUAAAGCACUUUUGUCCGGAAAGAAAUCCUUGGCUCUAAUACAGCCGGGGGAUGACGGUACCGGAAGAAUAAGCACCGGCUAACUACGUGCCAGCAGCCGCGGUAAUACGUAGGGUGCAAGCGUUAAUCGGAAUUACUGGGCGUAAAGCGUGCGCAGGCGGUUUGCUAAGACCGAUGUGAGAUCCCCGGGCUCAACCUGGGAACUGCAUUGGUGACUGGCAGGCUAGAGUAUGGCAGAGGGGGGUAGAAUUCCACGUGUAGCAGUGAAAUGCGUAGAGAUGUGGAGGAAUACCGAUGGCGAAGGCAGCCCCCUGGGCCAAUACUGACGCUCAUGCACGAAAGCGUGGGGAGCAAACAGGAUUAGAUACCCUGGUAGUCCACGCCCUAGACGAUGUCAACUAGUUGUUGGGGAUUCAUUUCCUUAGUAACGUAGCUAACGCGUGAAGUUGACCGCCUGGGGAGUACGGUCGCAAGAUUAAAACUCAAAUGAAUUGACGGGG
RNAcentral lists this ribosomal RNA (570 nucleotides) under uncultured bacterium. Its description in RNAcentral is "partial 16S ribosomal RNA". It matches the Rfam family "Bacterial small subunit ribosomal RNA", at positions 355 to 918 of the family's 1533-position model. The record is from RNAcentral.